This 4678-nucleotide long non-coding RNA is filed under the name Homo sapiens (human). RNAcentral's name for it is "HSALNT0330950". The record is from RNAcentral. Lineage: Eukaryota; Metazoa; Chordata; Mammalia; Primates; Hominidae.
AUCCUCCUGCCUCAGCCUCCCAAAACGCUGGGAUUACAGGCACGAGCCACCACGGCCAGCCCAUGACUUAUCUUUAAAUCCCAGUAGGUAGCCCAAUGCCUGGCACUUGGUUGGCCCUCAGGAUACUUUUCUUGGAGUAGCCAUAAAUAAGUGGGUGCCCCAGGGAGGUUGGGAUGAGCAAUACUGAGAAGUUUAAGGCACAGUUCUCCUGCCAAAGCGGUUGGUCUCUUUCCACCGUCACCUGGUUUCCCUGGAUCAGCUAUUACAUCUCAUUAAUAUCUUAUAUUUCAUUUUCUUUGUAGUUCCCUUGCAAUGUUUCCCAAUGUGUGUCCUGUGGGACAAUAGUUCAGUGGAAUAUUAAUUAAGUAUUAUAGUGCAAAGGGAUUCUGAGAUCAAGUGAGUUUGGGAAAUAGCAAGUUAAAGAAAAGGAAGCAGGUUUAUUUGCUGAGGGACUUAUCAGAGCCUUUCAUGUGUUCAUGGAUGUUGUUACCAUCCACAAAGGUAACAGGGGCUUUCGUGUUUCCCACACCUUUUUGACCUUGAAAUCAUUAUUUUUUCCCCUUUGAGUAUCUCACAGGACUAGUGUUCUGAGGAGCAGUACACUGAGAAAUGGUCCUCUAGACAGAGAGGAAAUGCUGUCUUCCCCCUUUAUUGGCUAUGUGGGAUUCGUAUAAUUUGCUUAUUUGUCGGAUCCAUUAUUGCUGGGUGUGGGAGAGCAGGCAUGUGUUAGACUGUCCAUCUUCAGAGAGGUUUCCUGCUCUUCCUGUUCGUCCAGUAGUUAUGGGCUGUGAUUGUUAUGGUGAUAGCAGGGAGGCUGCAGACCCCAGAGGGGAUUAGGCAUAUCUGUGUGUAAACUUUGGGCAAUGUCUUUCUUUCAACUGGGCUUGAAUCACAGCAUUGCAUACCCUAAGAAAACAUCAUGAGGUAUAUAAAGUUCCCAUACUCCCAUUAAGUGGCCUGGUUUUCGUCUUUAAGUAUGGUGGGGCUGGUAGGAGUAGAACACGGGAUGAUGUAUCACUUCUCCUGGGUUUCUCAACCUCAGCACGACUGACAUUUGGAUGGGAUCAUUGUUUGUGGGGUCUGUCCUGUGCCUUGUAGGAUAUUUGGCGGCAUCCCUGGCUUCUACCCACUAGAUGUCAGUAGCACGUAUCAUCCCUCCUGCCUCCCCAUUGUGACAACCCAAAAUGUAGGCAGACAUUGCCAAGUGUCCUCUAGGGGACAAAAUCCCUCUCCCAUUGAGAACCACUGCUUUAAGAGAAGAUUACCCAAAGUCUGUGCAAGGCUUUUGGAAUACUCUUGGAAGGAUUUUUAUCAUACUCUUGGAAGAAGGAAGUAGUGCUAUCAUGCUCAAAGCAUGGUCUGAGAGCCUAUAAGACGUGCCAGCUAAUGAAACUCUCCCCUGGGGUGUUUUCGUAACUCAUCCUUAAGGCUCGUAUAUCUGUUGAGUUUCUUGGUUGCAAGUUACAGAAAACCCAAUCCAAAAUGGUCUAAGCCAGAAAAUGAAUUUUUUGGCUGUGGUAACUGAAGAGUCCGACACAGUGCUAACUUUAGGCACAGCUGGAUCCAGGUGCUUAAGCAGUGUUAUCAAGAAACAAGAAUUUUUCCAAAUCUUUGCUCUGAUUUCCUCAUUAUUGAUAUCAUUCUCAGACAGGCUCUUCCCAUGUGGCAGUGAGAAAGCUGCCAGCAGCUCCGGCCUACUCCUCACUAGAACAGAUCUGGUGGAAAGGGAAAGCUUCUCUUCCCUCAUGGUUUGAAUGCAAGUCCUGGAUCUGAUUCCCAUUGGCCUGGGAUACUACGCUAUUCUCAUUAGCUGUGCCGGGUUCACACGCCUGUCCCUGGAGCCUGGGGAGGAGCCAACACCAACGGAACCAUUUGGUGGGGAACAGGAGAGGAAUGGUUCUUUAGAGGCAAACGGGGCAGUUACUUGAAGAGAGGUCAGCGGAUGCUGGUCAGACAAGCACCUCUAUUGCCUCAUUCAUAAAAAUAACUAAACGACAGCCAAUAACGGCAGCUCCCACUUGUCGAACAUGAAUUCUGUACCAGACCCUACCUAUACUGCGUGAUCGCUAAUCACCACCAGCAUCCUGAGAGGCAGCUGUUGUCAACCUAUUUUACAGAUGGGUAAGUGGAGUCUCAGAGGCAGAUGAAAUGACUUGGCUGAAGUCACAGAGUGGGGCAGUGGCUGAGCCACAGACCGGAGGCAUCCUUUUACCUCCUCUAGGACACCCUCUGUAACUGACUUUCUUCCUGCUGCAAUCCAAAAGGUCUCCCAAGGUCGCCUGUUGCUAUUUUGGAAAGAGGUGGACAGAUACUGGAGGGCCACUCUUCAGGCCACUGCCCAAUCUUUUCUUGUCAAUUUGAUGUCAGCUUGUGCCAAUCAUCCCUGAAGGGCCAUUCUGACACAGCAAGUAAGGGAAAGCUUGGCCGGCGUUUUCUGGUUUGGCUCUGUUCUGCCUGCUUGGUCCAUUUUCCUCACCUCCGUUUUUGCCCGUUGCCGCUGUUUUUAUCUUCCAUCCCCCCAGGGAGCCUGCAGAGGGUGCAUUAGUAAUAAAGCUAACAUUUCCAGAGAGAGAGAGAGAUAUCAAGGAAUUUCCAUGACAUGAUUUCAUGAAGUUUUCUCAAAUAUCAUAUCAAGUAGACACUACUAUUAUCCCCAUUUUACAGAUGGAGCAACUGAGGCCUGGAGAGGCUAGAGGACUUGCCCAAGGUUGCCCAGCCAGCAGAUGGGAGAACUGGUGUUUGAAUCCAGGCAGGACCCAUUGCUUUUAUUACGGUACCAAAACUUCAGAAAAUUGCAAACCAGUGGCCUGUGAGUCAAAUCUGGCUAACAGAUAUAUUUUGCUUGGCCCACAUAGUAUUUCAAAACCCAUUUGAACUCAUUGCCAAUGUUUAAAAAUUGAGAACCUGCACAUCAAAAAACAAAAUUUGUUCUUUUCUGCUUCUCUUGAAAAAAAAAAAAUCAGAGAAGAUUGGCACCACUGGGCCUACAUUCCUGCCUGGCAGAGACCGGCUGGAGCUGCAGCUCAGUCCCAGGUGCCUGCUUUGGGUGGGGUGUGUUCCUCCAGCUGGAUGCAGUCCCCACCACUCCCUAAUACCUUCCCAGUGCUGAGGCCGGUGUCAUUUGCUGUGGCUCACUGUGUGUGCUCUGCGGUGUCCCUUGCGCCCCUCCUGGCUUACCUGCCUGGCUCUGGAGGGCACAUGGGCUUGCUGCUCCUCCCCCACAUGCAGGAGCUCCCGCCAGCCUCUGACCACAGUGGUUUGGGGUUGCUGUAAUCUCUCUCCACACAUUCAGUGGAACGGUCUUCUGCUGGUGAAGGUCUGACUUAGGCACUAGAAGAGUUGGACAGAGCCCCAAAUUUUCCUUUCCUCCAGUACCCCAAUCCCACCCCCUCCCACACUUUGGUUUAUUGGUCAGCAAAGGCCACUUUCUUGGCAGUGUUUGUCUUGGGUACACAACCACUUUUUCUUGCUCCCCGCAGAGCCCCCUAACGUUUUCUUCCUAAUCCUCCUCAGGAGAACCAUCACUCGGAUUAUCAUGAAACCCGAGCGUGUGCGCAUGAGAAUCACAGAGUGGCCAAGAGUGAGGACGUUGACACUACACAGACCUGGGGCAGACCCGGCCCUGCUGCUGAGUGGUUGACUGGCCCCAGGUAGCACUGCCUUGAAACUACUCCUAGCAAGAAACACAGCUUCUGAUCAUGGGAGAACCUAUUUGCAUCACAGUUCACAAACAUGCUUUUAGACACUCUCCACUUCAGUGGAGGAAACAGAGCCCCAGCGAGGGGAAGAGACUUACCCAAGUCACGUAGCUAAGAGGCAAAAUCAGGAUUCAGACUCAGCCUCCCAGCGCUCACUCCACAGUGCCUUGUUGGCCCAGCCCUAGAAGGCCUCCUGGCUGGAGGCCAUUGCCUGAGCCUGGGGAUGACACAUAUGUCCACUGGAUGUCAUGAUUUCUCUACUGAAGCUAGCUGGACCUUCUUGGCAGUGACAUAGGAUUUUCCCCCUUCCUGGGGCAAAGCAGUCUCAUAUGGGACACUCAGGUGGUGGCUCUCCCUCCUUUUGGCUCAAAGACAGGAGGUAAGGCCUGCAUCCUGUUUUCCUAGGGUGGGGAAAGUCUGCACACAGGUGGAUCCACUCUUUCCUGGGGACCUGGGAUCAUUGCAGCCUUCUCCACCCCACAGGCCCCUCCACAGCCUCUGCCCAAAUCCCCUUUCCCGGACUCCAAGUUGUAUCACCUUAGUUAACGCUUCAUUCCCCAGGUGUCUAAGAAAAAAAUGUUCUCCCCAUGCAGUUUCUCCACCUGGGAAACAGGCGGCCUUCUCUCUCUCUACGUCAUCAAGUCAGUGCAGAGCGCAUGGAGCAGCAACGCCCUGCCCAGCUCUGGGCUGCCCGCUGCGUGCUGAGGAUCCAGAGACAAACCAGCCAUGCUCCUGGCUGAGCGGAAGGUCCUCCCGAGCCUGCACAGUCUGAACUUGCUGAGCAGCCUGAGCUGGCGAAGAUGCCCUCCUUUAGAGGAGCGUGCAGACUUGAUAAGGGAAACAGAUGGGCCAACAGAUAAUUCCCAGCAGAGGUGUGUUCAAACAUGAGCCCUGGGGACUAGGUACUAAGCAGAUGGAGGAACAGAGAUGUAAGUAACUUACCCAAGAUCACACAGCCAGCAGAUCUGCACCGAGGCAGU